Molecule: ribosomal RNA, 108 nt
Filed under: Schistosoma mansoni
Lineage: Eukaryota; Metazoa; Platyhelminthes; Trematoda; Strigeidida; Schistosomatidae
Source: RNAcentral
GCCGGCGACCAUACCACGUUGAAAGCACCGGUUCUCGUCCGAUCACCGCAGUUAAGCAACGUUGCGCCCGGUCAGUACUUGCCUCCAAAUGCCCUGGUACGGCUGAGA